CAGUCGCCGCGGUAAAACGGAGGGGGCUAGCGUUGUUCGGAAUUACUGGGCGUAAAGCGUACGUAGGCGGCUUUGUAAGUUAGAGGUGAAAGCCUGGUGCUCAACACCAGAACUGCCUUUAAGACUGCAUCGCUUGAACGUCGGAGAGGUGAGUGGAAUUCCGAGUGUAGAGGUGAAAUUCGUAGAUAUUCGGAAGAACACCAGUGGCGAAGGCGGCUCACUGGACGACUGUUGACGCUGAGGUACGAAAGCGUGGGGAGCAAACAGGAUUAGAUACCCCAGUAGUCCCUGUCUCUUAUAC
This 301-nucleotide ribosomal RNA is filed under the name uncultured bacterium. RNAcentral's name for it is "partial 16S ribosomal RNA". It matches the Rfam family "Bacterial small subunit ribosomal RNA", at positions 509 to 807 of the family's 1533-position model. The record is from RNAcentral.